Molecule: transfer RNA, 31 nt
Filed under: Phyllodactylus saxatilis
Lineage: Eukaryota; Metazoa; Chordata; Lepidosauria; Squamata; Phyllodactylidae
Description: partial tRNA-Ile
Source: RNAcentral
ACACCACGGGGGUUUAACUCCCCCCGCUUCU